UGUUAGGAAUAAACAAAAUAGGAAAUCGGCUAGGCUUAUUUUGCAAACCCUAUCCAGUCCGUCGCCGACUCGCCGCCAUCCUCGAUCCCUUCCAAUCGGAUCCGGCGAUUGGCACUUGCCUCCUGCUCCCCAGCCAUGGCGGGCUCAGAUCGAGUCGAAGAGAGCGACUUUGCGCGCGGCGGGUGGACUUCUGGCCCCGGGAUGCGAGGAGAACGAAGCUUGGGGUCCCGAUGGGGCGAAACAAGACCCGGCGUGUCUCUGGGAGCCGCCACCCCCGCAGCGGCUGGUGCUGGCGAUGCUCACCUCCACGGCUCCACCGGCGUCGCCAUCGAAGACGUCCGCUCCGGGGACGCCGCGCUGGGGCUCCGCUCGUACGAGAUCUCCCUCCACCAUUGAUCUGAACGGGACAUGCAUGGCCUUGGUCCCGCGACAUGAGAGCAGGUAAUAUAAUAAUCUCCUAUCUCCCUGCUCCUGGAAUGAUUUGGUUUGGCCUCCGAUGUGGUUGGUGUUGAGAUUUGCUUGCUCGAGUCAGUGCAAGUACUAGUUCUAUCAUUAGUAGAAAAAUAAGAACUAACGAUGUAGUCAAAAGACUUGUGCCUUUUAUUCAUAAUAAAAAAGUUCAAUAUGACCUGAAUACAAACUGGUAUAGUACAAGGUUUGAAACACUAAUAAACUAGUAAUGCUUAGAAUCGACAAGAAACAAAUGAACUUUAAUUUUGUUCGGCGCCAUAUUUUUGCCAUAUGUGCUCUAUCAAAUCUUCCUUGAGCCGACGAUGGGUCUGUCGAUCUCAAAUCUCACUAUUUUUCUCUAGUACAUAUGCAAAUCCAUAGAUAGGUCCGUGGUGAAGUCCUGCUGUUUGCGGGGAAAAUGGCCCUUGUUCAUACGUGCUUGUCAAUAUUCUAUCAGCUAUCUUUUGGAGUUUAGUCUGGCUACAAUAUUUGUGAACACAUAAAACUUAUCGAUAUUCCAUUAGUACAAGCAGACAAUUACAUUAAGCUUUAACCAUAAACUAAGCAUACAUUAAGCAUUAACCAUACAAAGAGUACAUUAACCAUACAUAGCUAACUUCUUUAGAUAACUUCUUUACUGGUCUUCGAGUUCUUAGAUAAUUUGAGCACCGCAACCUCAUGUCUCUUCAGCUUUUCUGGACUCCAACCACUUUUUCAUCCUUGUUUCUUCCCGUUUUGCUUUGGCCGAUUCUACUUGUGCUUCUGCUGAUUUCAAUAAUGCUUCAGCUCUAAUCUUGAUAGUUUCAUUGUACAACACUAUAUUUUGAGAUGGCAGGUUCCCCAAUGGAGAAGAUGAAGUGCCUUUUCCUUUGCCUUUUAGUCUUUCUUUUGCUUUCUUCUGUCCCUCAAGCAGGAUAGCAUCCAGGUCGCCCAAUAUUCUACCCGUCAGAGGGUACAAUUUUCAAUAGCUGUGAAGAGGUGAGAGAUUUUUUUUAAUCUUUAUUCAUGAGAAAUUGGUUUUGGUGUUCGCUACGGACGAAGUAACAAGAACAACAAGGGUUAUAGGACAAGGCAAGAUAUUGUUUGCUCAUGUGAGGGCUCAUCACGGAUCAGCAAUUGUGCUUCUGUAAGGACUGGGUGUAAAGUGAUGAUAAGGUUGCUUAGAACUAGUGUGAUCAUGGAUGGUAUAUUAGCCGAGUGAACACAAGCCACAACCACAAAUUAUCCGAGGGGUAUGCAGAGAAGAAACAAUGGAAUUCUCACAGAAUGAUAGAUGCAACCAAGUAUUAUCAAGAAACAAAGAGACAACAAUGUGCUGUUACAUUUGGACAGGCAAGAAAUACCAAAGUUUAAUAUAAUGCAAAGAUGGACAAAGGAGGCAAUUGUAUAUAAUAUAAAUCACAGGCACAUGACAGUGAUAUAGGAUCAGAUGCAGAUCAAAUGAGAAAGAAGGCUUUGCUGAUGAUGCAGACACUUCAGUUAGUCCAUGGACCUACUGCUGUUGACGAGCAGAUGUUCAGGAAUGCUAUGGAAGCUUUAAGGGCUCUUCCUGCAGUGCAGUGCACCGAUGGAGUAAUUGUUCAAUCUGGCAUGAGUAGCAUGGACAUUGAGCAUGAGCAGCUCCCUGUUUCUUGUCCUGAAAGGACAAUGAAAGGUGGCCGGCCACUUAGUACUGGACUUAAGGCGUGGCUAUCAAGGAACGAUAAGAAAAGGAUCUCAGAAUGUUCAUCAAGGGAUCCAUUAGCUGAAGACUGGCCUGAGGAAGAGAGGCCUGAUAGGAAGAAGACCCGGCGCAUAAUUGAUAUUUGAUAGGCGAAGAAUGUAGUAUAGUUUAUUUUGAAAUUUGGACGACUCAUUUAUGAUAGUGCAUGCUUGCCUAUAAGAGUGUAUCAGACUUUUCUGUAAUUGGAGUUGAUAUAAUAUAUAUUUUUAAUUCUGAAAUGUGUAA
Long non-coding RNA from Panicum virgatum (switchgrass), 2398 nucleotides. RefSeq lists it as uncharacterized. The record is from RefSeq and is a predicted model, not a curated record. The transcript has 3 exons. NCBI's taxonomy places the organism in Eukaryota, Viridiplantae, Streptophyta, Magnoliopsida, Poales, Poaceae.